UUACCCGCCAGGGGACUACAAGCACUAGCUUAAAACCCAAAGGACUUGGCGGUGCCUCAAACCCAUCUAGAGGAGCCUGUUCUACAACUGAUAAUCCUCGUUAAACCUCACCACCCCUUGUUAACCCCGCCUAUAUACCGCCGUCGCCCGCUCACAUUGUGAAAGAUAAAUAGUGAGCCCAAUGAGAAUCAUCCCAAAACGUCAGGUCGAGGUGUAGCGAAUGGGGUGGGAAGAAAUGGGCUACAUUUUCUGACCAUCAGAAUAUUACGAAAAAUGCCAUGAAAUAUGGCGUACAGAAGGUGGAUUUAGCAGUAAAGAGAAAACAGAGUGUUCUCUUGAAAUCGGCUCUGAGGCGCGUACAC
RNAcentral lists this ribosomal RNA (362 nucleotides) under Aldrovandia phalacra (Hawaiian halosaurid). RNAcentral describes it as "partial 12S ribosomal RNA". It matches the Rfam family "Bacterial small subunit ribosomal RNA", at positions 865 to 1388 of the family's 1533-position model. The record is from RNAcentral. Lineage: Eukaryota; Metazoa; Chordata; Actinopteri; Notacanthiformes; Halosauridae.